RNAcentral lists this ribosomal RNA (253 nucleotides) under uncultured bacterium. Its description in RNAcentral is "partial 16S ribosomal RNA". It matches the Rfam family "Archaeal small subunit ribosomal RNA", at positions 474 to 727 of the family's 1478-position model. The record is from RNAcentral.
UACCAGCACCCCGAGUGGUCGGGACGAUUAUUGGGCCUAAAGCAUCCGUAGCCGGUCCUACAAGUCUUCCGUUAAAUCCACCUGCUUAACAGAUGGGCUGCGGAAGAUACUAUAGGGCUAGGAGGCGGGAGAGGCAAGCGGUACUCAGUGGGUAGGGGUAAAAUCCUCUGACCCAUUGAAGACCACCAGUGGCGAAGGCGGCUUGCCAGAACGCGCUCGACGGUGAGGGAUGAAAGCUGGGGGAGCAAACCGG